AGUGUUUUGGUAAAAAAUGAAACCAGUAACCAAUGAUGGCCUGUUUUGUGGUUAACACCUAACUUCAUGGUGGGGAUGAGAUUGUGAGUGGGAUAAUCAAAACUCUGCCACAAGAGAGUGUUUGUCCCAUUGGAGUGAAGGUGUUGAAGAACAAAGUUGCCUGUGUCCAACAAGGUGGCCUUAGUGUUGUUGAUAGGUUGAGGUGGAGAAUACAGGAUUAUUGGCUUCCCACGUUGAGAUUCAAUUUUCAGCACGCCUGAGCGGUUAAGUGACAGAACUGCAGAAUCCUUGUCCACAGGUUGGUUUCUAUCACUCAUCCAAACUACAUAAUUAUUAUUUACAUUGGAUACAAACAAAUACUGGUUGUCACCAACAUCAACCCAACCAAAACCUAGACAAUAGUCGCCCUUUUUUGAAUAUAGUGGUCCUGUAUCUAAGUUCAGUGUAUCACCAGGCUUUAAACUGUCAUUUGCUGCUUCAACACGAAUACAAGUACUCCACCACAAGCACAAGCACAUGAAAGCAAGCACCUUCUGUAAACAUGGAAAUAGUAAUCUGCAUGAUGGUUUACUGAGUGAUGAGCUGAGAGUUAUUCUUUCUGAUACGUUAGAAAAAGAAAUGUAUAACAACAUAAAACUAAGUUGUAAAAUUAAAACCAGACACAUAUUGAAUCUGUCAGAAGCAUAUACUCACAACAUGUGAUGGAGGGUCAUUCCAAAUCUUAUUAAUUACAAGCUUCAGAGCUUAAAACUCCAACUUUGGCUUUGGAAUUCUGCACCAAAAAUGAAUAGCCUGUCAGCACAAGUUAAGAGAAAAGAAAAAAGCAGUAUACUUUAUUGCAAUUAUUGAAGUAAAGAAGAUAAUGAUAUUAUGGGCUAUUGAUCCCACAAAAAGAAAAAGUUAAGUAAGACUAAAGGAUUUUAUGUUUUUUGAAUAUUUAAAUAAUUUUUGUAAUAUUAUUUAAUGUAUAUUUUAAUUCCCUAAAAGUUUAUAUGAUGACACUUGUGUUAUAAAAAGUGUAUUCUUCUUACUUAUAAAUCAUAAAAAAAAUAUUAAUAUUUAUGUGUUUUUAUUAUUUUAAUGGUAUUGUAAAGUAAUGUAGCUUUGUCAUCCUAUGAUUAGAUAACGUUUGUGCCUAAUACGUUGUUAAUUUCAUAAAAUUUUGAGAAAUAUAAAAGUUGGACAGGAAAAAUUUAUAAACUCAAUGCCUUGAUAUUUUGGAUUUAGCAUGCUGUAAAUUUUACUUAUAUGAUUGAUUAGUGGUUCAUAAAUAAAGUUUCAUGUUCGUGCCGGUUGAUUCGAUUGUCCUAAUGUCUCCAACGACAAUCACACUCCCGAUUCUCUUUGCCUUGGUUCGUACUUUCCUUCUAUCAAAACACCUUGUACCUAUAAAGACAAAGAGGCGUCCUAGAAGCCGUUUGCACUCCGACUCUCAAGUCAAUACUGUGGCUAAGAAACAGAAAUGUAUGUAAUUGUUCUAGUCUCAAGAACUGCGUACCUCUUUAGUUGUCGGCGAUGCGGGCGGAGGGCGAAUGGAACCAGCGACGAUGCUGCCGUGUGGUGCGAUCGGCGGUGCAAAGGAGCACGUUCGUUGGCGACGAAAGGGAGGAAGAGGUUGUUGGAAUCACGAUGCGGUCGUGGCGAGAAGCAGAGCGGGGCAGUCACGGUGAGAAGCAGAGCGACAAUGUCCCGGGGAGCAGCGACGCAGUGGUUGUGUCACGAGGUGUAGCGAUACGGUGGCUUUGUCGAAAAAGGCAGCAACACAGUGGCUCUGUCACGGUGCGACCAGCGGGUGAGUCCUUUGCAGUGGUGCGGCACUGCGGCGAUGAAGAAAGGAAGAAGAAAGGAGAGGGUGAAUGAAGGAGUGAAGAAGACUAAAGGUGCAGAAGAAUGAAGGAGUAAAGAAAAUAGUGAAGGCGUGAAGGAGUAAAGAAAACAGUGAAGGCGUAAACGAGAGUGAAGGCAAGAUUUAAAAAUCUACCACUUAAAAAAAUCCCACUUACUUUUAACAACGGUUCAUGCUGAAAGUGUUGUUAAAAACCCCAGUCACUCUUAUAAUGACAAUUCAUGCUGGAACCAUCGUUGUUUUGGACCUACAAACACAAAAUAAUUACAAGUUUACCACCCUAUAUUUUAUAACGAUGAUUAUGUAAAAACCGACUUUUUAUAGAAUCGUCGUAUUGAUAUUUUAUACUAGUAAAAUCAUAAAAUAUAGAAAAUAAUAUUUUUAAAAAUAUCAAUAGUGUGUAACUGGUAUGCUUAAUAAUAACAAAUUAUUUAUAUUAUUUAUGAUCAAUUAACCUUAUCCUAAUUUAAAUCUGUAUAGACUGAAAAGAAAAAAAUUUGAAUAUUGUCCCAAGUCUGCAACGGGCAAUCUUGUCCCAAUACGAAGGAGUUCUUCACCCCAGUAGUAAUUCCAUAUGUACGCCAACAAAUUAAAUAUAAAGGAAAAUUGAAUCUAAUAUGAAAAUAGUUUAAUUAGAUUUUAAAUAUCUUAUGCAUUUGAUUAUUUUCAAUAAAAUCUUUAUUAAAAAAAAUUAUUCUACUGAAUGUUUAAGAUAUUAUUUAUUCUAUUUAAGUAUGUCGUCUUAUUUUUCUGUUAAGAGACUUCUUAUUAUUUAUUCUAUUAAACUUUCGCAAGUUAAAAGAAAUUAAAAAGAAGAAAAGUGAAUUAAUUGAUACAUUGAAGAUAAAGAGAUAAAAAUAAUAACUAUAUCACAUUUAAAAGAAAAAAAUUAAGUGAUAGAAUACAGAAAUAAAAACAAAAAUAUUUUAAAUACUUAACAAAAUGAUUUUUUAAUAGAAAUUCAAUACACAAAAAUGUUUAAAUUUAUAAUAUAUUUAAAACACUACAACAAAAAAUGUUUUUAGAAACUAAAUUUUUGGUUUCUAAAAUAAUAAAAUUAGUCACUAACUUAAUUAGAGACUAAUUUAGAAACUAAUAGUCUUAAGUGGCUAAAGUCAUGGUCACUAAUUUUAGAUACCAAUUUAAAUUCUAACUUAGAAAUCAAUUUAGUUACCAUUAAAUAAAAACCAAUUUAGUGACCAAAUAUAUAGAAACUAAUUUAGUGACCAAUUAUGUAGAAACCAAAUUAACAACCAAUUUCAUGGAAACCAAUUUAGUAACCAAAAUAUAUAGAAACUCAUUUAGUAACCAAAUAUAUAAAUACCAAAAAAAUGUUCACUAUAUUGAUCUCUAAAUAAUAUAAUUUAUUAAAAAAUAUUAUUUUAUUUACCUACUUUCUCUUUAAUAUUAUAUAUUUAUUUAUAAAUUAAAGUUUAUUAAUAUUUUAUAUUUAUUUAUAUAUUUAAGUUCACUAAUUUUAAAAUAAAUUUAUAAAGUUCGUUAACUCAAAUCUUUCAUAUUUUAUAUUUAUUUAUAACCUUUGUUGAGUUAUUGAAAAGAUUUAAUAUUUUUUAAUUAAUGGAUCCUUUUCACUGUAUCUCUUCAUCCCAAUGUGGCUAUUAUUCAAAGUUUAGUUGUUACAAAGUAAUGUUUACAUUCUUCAAAUUACUGCCACAUCCAUCAGAACUAUUUUUUUUGAACCUUUUGCCACACAGAAUGACUGUUUUUCUUCCCUUUACUACUGUGCAAAAAUUUUCUUCUGUUCUCAAUUUGCUUUUCAUGCUACAAAAGAAGAAAGAGGGAGGAAAAUAAAAUAAGUACAAGCCUAAAAAAUAAAGCCUCAAACAAAGAACAAAGAUCAGAAAUCACCAUGCACACGCAUUAUUAUUUCAUGAAUGACUGCAUUAGUAUGUAGACUAAAAUGAAAUUCAUAGUGUGAGUUUAUCUUUCCACUGUGUAUGUCCUCUUUUCUUUCUCUGCGCAAUAUCUAUGGCUAUGCAAAUGCAAAGUGUUGAACUUUAGAAUCUGUGACUGUCCCUGUUUGCAUCUCUAUCUAUCAUCUACAGUCGGUCACUGAAUACUCUUGACUAUAUUAUCAUAAUUCUAAGUACCAACUAUACACCGAAACUCAUAUUUUAGCAUAGGUUUGUUUGAACUCACUUUGAAGUGACGACAAAUCAAAAACUUCUUUAGCAUUAAUAAAGAAAAAAAGUUAACUAUAUCUAAGACUAACAUAAAUAAUAAAAUUAAACAAAGUUAAUUAUAUGAAAUCAACCAAAAACUCUCCAAACCACAAGUCCCUUGUUCAAAUUGGUAUCUUCUUACACGAUGGCCAUGGAUCAGUAUAAUAACUUUUGAGGAUAUCUCCAAUCCCAUUAGUUGCAGGGCAUGAAGGUAAAAAUCUGCAAAAUGACAUAUAAAUUAUCAUUAUUCCACAGUUUAUUAUUAAUUUGGUUGUCCUAAGAUACUACAACAACAAUAAGAGGGCAAUUUACUCAAAAUAUGAUUAAUGUGAAAGAAGUAUUUCAAAACCAAGCUUAACCAAUCUUCAGUAAGGAUUCUCAACACGUUAACCAAGCUUGCAAAAGGUCUCAUAGGCUGAGUUCAAUAGUGCUUCCACAAGCGAUUCCUGGAACUAAAAUCCAUUUUCUGCUAGUUAAGGAUACUAUAGCAGAGAAAAAAACCAACUCAGUGUAUCUUUUCACUCUUAACAAAGUACAAUAAUAUACAAUUAUGAAAGGUUUUCCAAAAUAACCUGAAGAGGCUUCGGUAUCACGGUUUUGAUGAAUGACCACCAUCUAUCUUCAACAACAGCUUUUAUAAGGCAACAUGUCCGCAAACCUUCUGCACCACCAAAUCGUCCAAAUCCACUUUGUUUCACCCCCCGAAUGACAGCGACUGAAAUAGUGGAAAUUGCACAAUACAACUUUAAUUCACUGGAAAUUAUAAUUAUAUGUAACAUAGGUUGAGUAGGUAACAUAUUCUGGCCAUUUGGCUAAAAGAACUGCAAAAUUAUAAGCCAAAAAACCAAAAAAAUAAUUAAAUGCUACUCAUACAACAUUCAUAAAUAUUGUUGCUUACAUUAGAAGUUCCUUUCAAAUAGGCAUCUUGCGGCAAAGUAGAUGUUACAGUAAAUUAAAAGCAUAGAUAAUAUCACUGCUACUAAUGUCCUUUAAGGUCAAACGCCUUCUAAGAGAUGACGAUAAAAUAGUAAAAUAAAUUUUACCUGACACAUGUAUGUUGCACCAAAAUCAUUAAUCGCAGCAAUCCCACAAUGUAUGACUACAUGGGAAAACACCACAUCACAACCCAAAUUUUUCAAAGGUUGUGAGAACGUUACAUAUACAAGUGAUGGUCUUCCCUCAAAACAACUAAGGACAUGAAGCAGUAAAUACAGAAAAGACCCCACAAGCCUGAUUUUAACAAUACUUUUAACUAGAAAGGUUUUCUGCAAGUGUAAGAGGAAUAUUUGAAAUUACACACUUAUUAUUUUGAUAGAAAAGCAUUGAUGAUGAAAUUUUUCUUUUUAAUCAUCACUUCCUCAAAUUAAUACCUUUCCAAAUUUUUAUUGAAUAGAAAACACAAGCAAGAUGACCUAAAAAGCUUUAGUAUAAGUGAACCUGAGAAUAACUAGGCUAUACAGAUCGUGAAGGUUUUGUGGAUAAGUGUCUCGAGGAAAAACAAUGUAAUGUGUAGUUAUUCAACACUUGCAACCACUACUACAUAGACUAUAUCAACAUUAUGACAAACAUGCACACCUGACCCAAUACAUGACCACCAACUUCAAAGUCCUUGCUUCAAUCGCUUGUUUCGCACCUUCAAUGUUCCCGACCUGUGAUAGGAUUAAAAAUACGAGUAAUAGGUUAGAUUCCAAUGACAAACGAUAACCUACAAUUAGCUUUCAACAUGACUCACAAAAGGGACUUCAUAUCACUUAAUUCACUCAACCUAUCCACUAGCAAUAUAAAUUUCUUCAUAAACACUAACAAAAACAAGAAAAUGAAAUACGUUUUUUCAUAUGCUAAAAUUGAUUUAUAUAUAAGUUAAUACCAACUCUUUGAAGAAGCUAAAUCUGCAAGUACUUGUGGAAAGUUUAUCUAAGCAUAAAUAAGGAAGGAGAAUCAUGAAAUAUAAACUCAGCAACGAUACAAGUUAUAGCAGCUGAGGGGUUCAUCGACUUCAAACGAAAUUCUAGUUUAAUUUUCUUUAAUUUGAAAAUAAAAUGGGCUAAGUCUAAAUCGAGCUAGGCAUCAGAAAACACAAGAACAGACUAAUUAAUUUGCAGAGAAAAUAAAAAGAAAACCAAAAUUAGGACAUCAUUGUCUCUUAGGAUUUGCGUAUAGUUAGUAACCUCACUUGAGGAACAACUUUGAACCCAGCAACGUGAGCCUUAUUUACUAAUUCCCUUGUGCAAUCAUCCCAGGAAAUUUGCAAGACUGCAACUUCUUCUUCCAGAAUGACCUUCAAAUUCUCCUCAAAAGCAAAGGCUAGAAAUCACAGCUUUAUUCAAGUAAAGAUUCAAAGUUCUCGUAGAUUCCUACAAAUUGAAAAUGAGAGAAUACAACAUGAGAACAGAAUCUAGGGUUUUAAGAUGGGAAAGAUACAUAGUGAGUAAAGUUGUGCGGGGCUUCCAUGAGCAAACACAAAAUUAAAGGGAAAAGGACGAGAAUGGAGCACGAAUCGAAACUUACGAUGAUAAACGUUGGUCUCCUUCGGAGGAGAGAAGCGCAAAGUGCGUUGUUGCAGAGUGCGUUGUGUUGCCGUGAGUGAGAUAUGAGCAGCGUUGCCGUGAGUGAGAGAUGAACAGCGUUGCCGUGAGUGAGAGCGUUGCCGUCGUGAAUGAGAGGGUUUUCGUCGUGAGUGAGAGCGUUGCCGUCGUGAAUGAGAGGGUUUUCGUCGUGAGUGAGAGCGUUGCCGUCGUGAAUUAGAGGGUUGUCGUCGUGAGUGAGAGAUGAGCAGCGGCGUUGCCCGUGAGUGAGAAAUGCCCAGCGUUGCCCCAUAUGAAGGUUGAGCAGCGUUGCCCUGAGACAGAGAUGAGUAGAAAAAGUUAAAGUGAGAAGAAAGAGAUAACAAAGUGAUUAAAAAUUUAAUUACUUUAAAAUUAGUAUCUAUAUUUAAAAUUAGUAUCUAAAUUCAAAAUUGGUAUCUAAAUUUAAAUAAUAAUGGUUAAAAAUUUAAGUAUCAAUAAUUGUAUGAUGAUUAGAAACUACAAAAUUAGUUUAUAAUUUUUAUUACUUUUAGAGACCAAAAUUUAGUUUCUAAAAUAGAUUAAAAGUGAAAAAAAAAUGGUUUCUAAUUACAUUUUUAACAAGAGACUAAAAAAUGGUUUCUAUAAAUUUUUUUAUUUUAUUUUUAUUAUUAGCUACCAAAAUUAUAGUAUCUAAUUAUAUUAUAAUUUUAUUAAUAAUAGAUACCAUUUUAGUAACCAAUAAUUUUUAGUUUAUAAAAUGGUAUCUAAAUUAGUUACUAUAGACACUAUUUUUUUUUUAGUUUCUAAAUUAGUUGCCAUUCAAUCAUUUUCUUGUAGUGAAACUUGGUAUAUUCUUUGAAAAAUAACACUAGCACGUUAUGAUAAACCCAGUUCUAUACAAAUCAAAAUUUAAAGCUAAUAUAGUAGUGGCAAUCAAUCAUAUGGGAGCAUGAACUGCUGUUAGGUUUCCGGUGGGGUGAGAUUUCUGAAUAUGGCUGACACUUCUUUCUUUUUCACAAAUUUUCCUGAACACUUUCGGGAGAGAGACUUAUGGAGGGUUUUUCAAAGGUGGGGAAGGGUGCUGGAUGUUUUCGUAUCAAGAAAGCUCAACGCAAGGAACCAAAAGUUUGGUUUCGUAAGGUUUCAGGGAGUGAACGACGUUGUAUCUCUAGAAAGAGAGUUGGAUGCAAUUUGGAUUGGUACAUGGAAGUUGCAGGUGAAUCUUCCAAAGUACCAGAGGGUGGAGGCUACAAGGGUGCAGAGAAAUGAGGACUCUAGGUUAGGUUGGCCGCCAAGGAAGAAAGUGACGCAUCCUAGGACGACCUAGAAUCGGGAUCGGACAGAGCAGCAACAGUCGUUUGCCCAAGUGGUUUCGGGGGAGGUAGCUCAGAGUGGGACCGGUGGGAACGUAGGUGGUGCACAGGGGGAAGAGGUUACUAAACUUACGAUGGUUUUAGAGCCUCCUUCCUGGCCUGAAGGUUGCUAUGUGGGUAGCCUUAAGGUGGUGCCUUGCAUGCAGUCGUUGAAAGAGAGCUUCGUCUUGGGAGGUUUUAGUCACGUCAGUAUAAGGCAUCUUAGGGAAAGUUAUGUGUUGUUGUCAUGUGUUGAAGGUGAAGGGAUGAACAAGAUUUUAACUGAAAAUAAAGCCUGGUUUGAUGAUAUGUUCUUGAUGGUUGUACCAUGGGAUGAUUCCUUUGCAGUGAAGGAGAGAUCGGUGUAGAGGCAUCCCGCUUCAAAUGUGGUGCAAUCAGUGCUUUUUCAGGAUAGGGGCGUUGGUAGGGGAGGUGGUGGAGAUUGAUAAAGCAACAGAAAAGAAAGAAAAGUUGGAAUACGCGCGUUUCCGGGUUAAAAUCCCGCUUAACAACAAAGUUAAAGUGGCGAAGGUUCUUAGCAUCAAUGGAGUUUUAUGCACGGUGUCGUUUGAAGAAGAGGCAUGUUUCCCGGACUUUUUCCACAAGAUGUUCAGCGGCAAAGGGGAUGGAGGAGGUUCUGAGGUGGAUACCGAGGCUAGCUCGGAGGAGGGAAGUGUAGGAGCAAGCCUAAGCGUUUCUGCGGGUUCCGAGUUCGAAGUGGCUAGAGGCGGGAAUGAAGGCGGCGAAGGAGGUGGAGGAAUGGAGGUCAACGGUGGUGGAGAUGAGGGGAACGAAGGGUCGGUCCAGGGCAGGCGGGAAUCAUUACUCCUAGGUAGGUUGCGCAAGCAAGGUGAAGGGGUGCCAUCUCAAGGUGCUUUAAGUGGUUCAUUAAUGGUGAAUGACUUUCUAGGAUCAAAGGUUGAAAGCGUGAGUCCACCUUUAAUGGCUGAAGCGUGUAUUCCCAAUAAUUCUAAGGCAACUACAGAAUGGGGCAGGAGGAGCAUUGAUGAAGGAAGCUCAUGCUUUGGUGAGCGUGGGUUACGAAAUAUAGAAGAGGAGUUAAUAGGGAGGUUUUCCGAUAGGGGUGGAAAGGGGUCCAACGUGGAGGGGAGUUUUUCAAGGGGUCUUGCAGGCUGUGGGUCCCUUAGGGUGUUUAAGGGAGUUAAUAAUGAAGGCACGGAAAUUUGUAACGUGAGUGGGAAGGAAGUUGGGUGGGAAUCUUAUGUGGAGGCAGGCUCACAACAGGCUUUAAAUAAAGAGGUAGGUGGAAAGGUUUUGGAAGGUUGCAAUGAUGCGGCUAACGAGGCUCUUGCAGAAGGAUUUUUGCUGGAACAUUUGGGAAGUAAGAGUUGGGUAGGAGAAUCAAUAAGGCCUGGAAUCUCUUUGGAGGUCUCGGAACUAGUUGGAGUAAAGGUGGAUGAAGAGGGCGAGGAUGAGAUACCAUUUUUAAACAGAAACUGAGAAAGUCACGGUUUGGUGAGUAGAGGGUCGAUAGAUGGUAACAAGAUGGAAGAAGCGGAGGAUACACAGAGUUUUGAGGAUCUAGUUGGAGAUAAGGUCGGAAAGCAGCUUACGGUAGACCAAGUUUUUUUGGUCCAUCAAUCUGGUAGUGAGUCGAAUUCACUAUUUGCUUCCGAUAGCGCAAUUGAGAACUGUAAUAGAAUUUUCUGGGUGAAGACGGAUAAGAAUGUAGCUUCCAGUGUCUGGGGAGUUGGGAAAGAGGAAAGUUUUUCGUUCCCAGGCCGAGAAGAAAUAGUUUUAAAUAGUUUUGUUCGUUGUCUAAUCAGGGUGGAGUAACUACGAGAAAGAUGUGGAAGGAAAGGAGAAAGGUAGUUAAUGAAGAUAAUUAGUCUGAAUAUAAGAGGGGCGAGAGGCGCAGUAAAGAGGAAUUAUGUAAGGGAUCUGAUCAGUAGGGAACAAGCAGAUAUGGUGUGUUUACAAGAAACAAAGUGCUCGGAGUUUAGUAGGGAGAAGGUGUGUCUUCUUUGGGGUACCAACGAAGUGGAUUGGGUGGAAAACAAAGCAAUAAAUAAAACAGGGGGAGUGCUUACGACGUGGAGUAACAAGUCGUUCCAGCUUUCCAGUUUCGUUAAUGGCAAAAUUUCACUAUUUUAGAGGGUUUUGGGAAGAGAGGAAAUGGUGCACACUUAACCAUUGUGAAUAUUUACUGCUCUGGCACUCUAAGGGAGAAGAAAGAGAUGUGGAACGAUGUUGGUGUUUUCAGACAAGGGCAACUUUCAAAGGCAUGGUGUAUCAUUGGGGACUUUAAUUCAAUAAGAAGGCAGGAGGAAAGGAGGAGCGUGACGUCGAACUCUGUCUACUCUAGAGAAAUAAAGGGUUUUAAUGAGUUUAUUGAAAGUUCAGAAUUGGCAGAUAUCCCGUUGGUGGGUAGGAAGUUUACUUGGUUUAAACCCAAUGGAUUGGUGAAGAGCAGAAUAGACAGGGUACUGGUUUCUAAAGAAUGGUUGGAUUUGUGGCCUAAUAGCCAACAAUUCGUUUUAAGCAGAUCGAUCUCGGAUCAUUGUGCAGUUAUGCUGAAGGAAGUCUCAGUAGGGGUCCGAAAUCGUUUAGGUGCUUGGAUGUGUGGCAAAAAGAUAGCGGUUUUAAGGAGUUUGUGAGAUCGAGUUGGGUUUCGUACAAGGUGGAAGGAAGAGGAAUUUUUGUGUUCAAAGAAAAGUUGAAAAGAUUAAAAGCAUAUUUAAAGGUGUGGAACAAGGAGGUCUUCGGGGAUGCGAAUCAGUCAUGUAAGGAAAUCCAACAGAGGUUAGACGAGCUAGACUUGCGCGAUGACGAAGACGGGAUAGAUGAAUCAGAAAGAGAAGAAAGAAAGUCCCUCUUUGCCAAGCUAUCUGUCUCUAAGUCUAAACAAGAGGCGAUUCUGUUCCAGAAAGCAAGACAAAGUUGGAUUAAGCAGGGGGAUCUUAAUACGAAGUACUUCCACUCUUCGGUAAAAUGGAGGAGGUCAAGGAAUCAAUUACACGGGAUUUUCGUCAAUAAAAAAUGGAGUGACAAUAAGGAUGAGGUGAAGAUUAAGGUAUGUGAGUUUUUUGAAGAAAGGUUUGCUAGGAAUGAUGUUUGCCAGGUCAGACUGGAUAAGGUCGAUUUCAAUUACAUCUCUGAAGCAGACAAUGAGAUGCUAGUUGGCGAGUUUUCGGAUGAAGAGGUGAAAGCAGCAGUUUGGGGGUGUGAUAGUUCAAAGAGUCCCGGUCCGAAUGGUUUUAACUUUGGAUUUAUAAAAUCUUGUUGGGACAUUCUAAAAGAGGACGUGGUGUUGGCGGUAAAGGAUUUUGCAGGUAAUGGCAGUUGGCCAAGAGGUUCGAAUGCGUCAUUUCUUUGUCUGAUUCCAAAAGUAGAAAAUCCUCAGCAGCCAGGGGAGUUUAGACCUAUUUCUUUAGUAGGCUGUCUGUACAAGAUCAUUUCUAAAGCGUUUUCCUUGCGUUUGAAAAAGGUGAUUGGAAAAAUUAUAGACGCUAGACAGUCGGCUUUUCUUAAAGGAAGAGGUUUAAUGGACAGUGUGCUAGUUGCGAAUGAGGUUUUGGAAGAAUACAAGAGAAAAAGGAAGAGUUGUGUGGUCUUCAAAGUCGAUUACGAGAAGGCUUACGACUCGGUGAAUUGGGAUUUUCUUUACUAUAUGUUUAGGAGGUUGGGUUUUUGUGAUCGUUGGAUUCAGUGGAUUAAGGGAUGUUUAGAGUCGGCUUCGGUUUUUGUCCUUGUAAACGGGAGCCCAACUAGGGAGUUCCUUCCUAGAAGGGGUCUUCGUCGGGGAGAUCCGCUAGCUCCUUUUCUAUUCCUCAUUGUAGCAGAAGGGUUGGUUGGGGUGGCAAGGGUAGCAGAGGAAAAGAAGUUGGUCGAUAGUUUGGAGGUUGGGAAGGGUAAAGUAAAGGUAAAUAUGUUACAAUACGCAAAUGAUACUUUGUUUUUCUGUGAAGCUAACGUCAAAAGCAUGUUUAACAUCAAGGCGAUUUUGCAAUGUUUCGAACUUUCUUCUAGGUUAAGGGUUAAUUUCGGGAAGAGUAGGAUUGGUGGGACGGGGUUGGACCAGGGAAUGCUCCAGCGGUUUGCAUCUAUUCUUAACUGCGAGACGAUGGCUGUCCCUUUUAUAUACUUGGGUAUGCCAGUCAGAGGGUGUCAUAAAAGAGGGGAUUUUUGGAAUGGGGUGAUUGAGAAGGUACAGGUUAGAUUAAGCAGAUGGAAGGGAAGAUGUUUGACGAUGGCUGGGAGGGUUUGUCUGAUCAAGUCCGUGCUAUCCUCUAUUCCGUUAUUCUAUAUGUCUUUAUUCAAAUUGCCCUCGGGGGUGGCUGGAAAGCUGAUUCGGUUGCAAAGAAGCUUCCUCUGGGGAUGGGGUGCAGAAGGAAGGAAGAUGGCUUGGGCCUCCUAGAGUCAGGUAUGUAUGCCACGCAAGUUUGGGGGGUUGGGGGUAAUUAAUGUAAGGUUGUUCAACUUGGCUUUAUUGGGGAAGUGGAUUUGGAGGUUGGGGUCGACCGAGAGAGGCCUUUGGAAGGAGAUCCUCGCAUCUAAAUAUGGAGGGUGGAGAAGAUUGGGAGAGGAAGGAAAAGGUAGGAGGUGUUCUCUAUGGUGGAAAGAUUUGAAAGAGGUGUGGUUCUCGGAGGGUUGGGGGAGAAGUUUUGCAGACGGUUUCAAGUGGAAUAUAGGGGAAGGGAAGGAUAUACUUUUCUGGGAAGAUAGAUGGUUGAAUGACGAGUCUCUAAAGAGUUCCUUUCCAAGGUUGUUUUCUAUUAGCUCUUCCAAGAAUGCUAAGGUGUCAGAGCUUGGCUAUUGGUCGAAUGGCGAGUGGGUCUGGCAGUUGUCUUGGAGAAGACCGUUUUUUUGAGUGGGAGAAGUCGUUGGCGGAGCAGUUGUGUCAGCUUCUGCUAGAGGCUCGAGUUGUUUCGGGAGAGGUGGAUGGUUGGAUCUAGAAGGGAGGGGUUUCCCAAUCUUUUUCGGUUAAUUCUGCCUAUAACCUUGUUAGAAAGGAUAAAGAGACAAUGUUUUCGCCAAUUUUUUGUAAGUUGUGGAAGAGCAAGGCAAUUCCCUCUGCAACUCUCAUGGCUUGGAGGCUGUUGGAAAACAAGCUUGCUACCAGGGUAAAUUUGAGUAGAAGAGGGGUUUUGGUGGAUAGCUCGUUGUGUGGUUUGUGUGGGUUGGUGGAAGAGUCUUGUUGCCAUUUGUUCUUCGAUUGCAGUUUUGCUAGGCGGGUGUGGGGAUUGUGUCAUAGGUGGCUUGGGGUUUCGGUUGCGUCCCAAAUCCAGCCAAAGUGUAAUUUUGAUCAUUUUAGGUUGAGCUGUGCUUCAGAAACGGUUAAUAAUGUCUGGACCACAAUUUGGGUUGGGAUAGUGAGCGAGUUAUGGAAGCACAGGAAUAACAUUAUUUUUAAUAGAGGAGUGGGGGAUGCUUCUGAAAUUUUUUCUUUGGUACAAGUAAAGGUCUGGUUGUGGGUUUCUGUUAAUUGUAGGUCAACCUCGUUUUCCUUUUCUGACUAUUGUUUAGAACCUUUGGUUUGCAUGAUGCUAAUUACCUAAGUUUGGCUUGUUUAGUAAGUUUGUAGGUUUUAGGCUGGUAUGUGUAUAAGGGUUGAACCAUCCCUGAAGUGGUUCCUAUUUAUUUAUUUUUUAUUAUCGAUAAAAAUAAAAUAAAUAAACCCAGUUCUUUGGAGCUGCAGAUCUUCUCAAUUGAACCAGUAACAUAGCCAAUAAGAAUACGACAAAUUAUAUAUAUAUAUAUAUAUAUAUUAAUUUAAUAUUUUUUUCAGUAUCUUAACCGGUUGAGUUAGUGAUUUAGUUUUUGAAAUAUUUGAAGACAAAAUUAUUGAUGAGUCAAAGAAACUGAGACAAAUAAAAAAGAAAGAUUCAAUUAUUUAUAUUUCAUAGCUUUAUGGUAAUGCGCUACCCUUUUGAUUGGUCUCACUUUUUGAAGAUGAAUUGCUUUUCUGUUUUAACUUUUUCAAUACUGUACUCAUUGUAAGAUACAAAGAAAGUAUUCAUUGUUUAUAUAAGAGUAUAUAUAUAUAUAUAUAUUAAUAUAAUUUUAAUUAUAAUAAUCUUUUAAUUUAAUAAAAGGACAUCCUAUACGGUUGUCCACACCCAAGAGAACUACCUCAAGACAAAUUCACAAUAUAGAAAUAUGUCUAACACUGUUAUGUAUAAUUUUUUCUCUUUUUUUACCAAAAAGACAAACUUCUGCUCUCUUUAAAAUGUAACAAACAUUGAUUAAUUGAUAAUUUGAAGUCAAUUCUUUUUUAUUUUUUCUAAAUCAGUACAUAAAUAUUCAGGUAGAAGCAAUUGUUUCUACUGUAGAAGAGGUAAUUUGUACUGUAGAAUCAGUACACAAUUCAAAGGAAGAUAAAUUUUCAGGAUACAUAUACCUUUGAACAUAGAAUGUUGGUCUUUGAGGUAAGGAUACUAUCGCACUCUUGUUUGUUAAUCUUGAUAAAAUUUCACUCAUUGUGGGUCGAUCAUUUGCAUAAUGAUCAACACAUAAGAGACCAAUAUGAAUACAUCUUUGCACUUCCUCGUUUAAUGAUAGAUCCACUAAUUCAAAAUACUUGUCAUCUUUCCAUAAUUCCCAUACCUGUAAGUAUUUACUCAAAUUAGACACAAAUAAUAGUAUCAUGUCAAAUAAACAAACUUACCAAUGUUAAUUUUACAUACAUGUCCAACUAGAUUCAAAGGAUGGUCAUCAUCAUAAAAACUUGUGUUUUUUCUUCCACUAACUAUUUCAAGCAACAACACUCCAAAGCUGUACACAUCAGACUUAAUAGAAAAUAUAACCACUACAAGAAAUUUCACAUGAGAAAAUAAAUUUUAUUUAUACAUGAAAAUUAUGAAAUAUAAACCAAUUUGUAGAAACCAAAAUAAUUAGUUGCAAUAGUAACUAAAUUAGAGACAAUUUUAGAAACUAAAAAAAAAUUUGGUUUCUAAAUUAGUUUCUAUUAUUUUAUAUUAUUGUUAAAUAGUUUCUAAAUUGGUAUCUAAUUAGCAACCAAUGUUUUUGCUACCAAAUUUAGAAACUAAAUAAUUGGUAGUUAAAACCUUAGUUGCUAAUUAGAUACAAAUUUAGAAACUAUUUAACAAUAAUAAAAACUAAUUUAAUAUACUAUUUUUUUUUAGUUCUAAAAUGGUCUCUAUUUUAGUUGCUAUUAUAACUAAUUAUUUUGGUCUCUAAAAAUUGGUUUCUAUUUCAUGAUUUUCUUGUAGUGUGUCCUGCCAUCUUUGACAUCCUCCUUCUGUGUUGUUGUAUCCAUAGGAACCACCGACGUGUAUGGCUGUCAUAUUCAUUUUAUAAAAAUAACUAUGCAUAACAUUCAUCAUAAAUUUAUAAAUAAUUGGUAGUUAAAAUCUUGGUAACUAACUAGAUAUCAAUUUAUAAACUAUUUAUCAAUAAUAUAAACUAAUUUUGAAAUUAAUAAUUUUAGUAGUCUCUAAAAUAGUAUUUAAUUUAGUCAAUAUAACAACUAAUUAUUUUUAAUUUUUAAAAUUAUUUUUUAUUUAAUGAUUUUUAAUAAUAUAUAUAUAUUAAAAAAAUUAAAAUAUAACAAUGGCUGGUUGUUAAAUUAGAAACUAAAUAAUUCGUAGUUAAAACCUUGGUUGCUAAUUAGAUACCAAUUUAAAAACUAUUUAACAAUAAUAAAAACUAAUUUAGAAACCAAUUUUUUUUAGUUUCUAAAAUGGUCUCUAAUUUAAUUAUUAUUGUAACUAAUUAUUUUGGUCUCUAAAAAUUGGUUUCUAUUUCAUAAUUUUCUUGUAGUGAAAGGAAUAUUAGAAAGUUAUGACAAUAUAAAAAGUAUAUAAAUUACAAUUUCAAUAGCUGUUAAGAUUUAUUUAUUUUUACCUGUUAAGAUACAAAAUAUUUUACUACCACUUGCACGGGAUAGUGUUUUAUUUUUUCCUUGUUUGGAUUGUGUUAUAUUUGUUUAUAAUAGUUAAAAAUAAAUAAAAAAUUAUAAAUUAUCUUCAUUUCAGCAAUGUAAGUCAGAAUAACAUAGAACAAUUUAGAAUUUCUGAAACUCGUGUUGUAGAUAUGACCAACCUUUUCUGUUGGAAAGAAAAAGAAAAGAACUUUUAGUAAAAGAAAAGAAAAGUACCAAUUAUCUUUACUAAAAUAAUUGAAAAAGUAUGGAUAAGUUGCUUACUCGGUGUUAGAUUGUAUUUUUGAAGGUACAUGUUUUAUAAAAUAAAAGGUUCGUUUCUUUAUACAAGGUAAAAUUAUUUUAUAAAUAAAUUAAAAGUUAUAUUUUACAAAUAUAUAAACUAUGUUUGAUUCAUAAACAAAUUAUUAAAAAAAAAAUUAAGAUGUUUGCACAUGAUAUCAAUAUAAAGGGAAACACAUUAUCAAUGGCCGACAUAGAGGAGCCAAGGAUUUUAUUACUUGGAAAGGGGAUGUCAAGGGGUUUUUUAGUGAAGUCAUUAGUGAAGUCAGCAUAUUCUAUCUUGGUCGACCAAAGAAAUGGCUUGGGUAAUGAUGUUUUUAAACUUCUUUGGAAGGCCAAAGCUUUACCAAAAGUUUUAAUCACUGCUUGGAGAAUCCUUUUGGACAGAAUUCCAACCUCCAAGAAUCUUAUGUUGCGAGGUGUAGAUAUGAACUCCCCUCUCUGUGCUUUGUGUAACCUCUUUGAGGAAUCCACCCAACAUCUGUUUUUGGACUGUGAUGUGGUAUAUAGAGUGUGGAUGUUGUGUUUCAGAUGGAUAGGUAUCUUGGGAGCUCAAAACAAGGACAUAUGUAAUCACUUCCUGAACUUUCAUUUAUCUAAUAUGUCCGAAAAACAGAAUCAGGUUUGGAAGGGAGUGUGGGUAGCGAUAGUACGUUGUAUAUGGGAGCACAGGAAUAAUGUGAUCUCUAGACAAAGGGUUCCUGACUCUGAGGAAAUCCUUCAAGCUGCUCAGUUAUUGUCCUGGCUAUGGUUGAAACACAGGGAAAGUACUUUCUCUUACUCUUUCUCCGACUGGUUAUUGAAUCCAAUCCAAUGUCUCCUGUGUGUAAGAUAAGCUUAGCCCGGAGCAUAAGGGUUCAUACGUUUAAAGUCAUGUUUUGAGUAUGCAGGUAUCUUUGAGGGGAUAGCAUGUUGGUUAUCAACCUCGGAGAUAGGUAGGGCUGGAAUGUAUGUAGGAGUUAUUGAAGAUUGGAAAUUUUCCCUGAAAUAUUGAUUAUAACAAGGACGGUUUAUACAGAGUUCAUGGUGGAAGUGUUCUCUGUUUUAAGGGAAAGAAUUUCUGGUUGUUUGGUGGUAUUAUGGUUCUAUUAUGCAGGGUACUAGGCCUAAUAGCCUUAGAAGUAGUUGGUUGGCGCUUUAGAGAUGGAGGAAGAGUCGUACGUGCUUCUCUUCUAUUCGGUGAAGUGUAGAACUACACAAAGCAAUUUGGGGUCUGCUGCUGAAGUUACCAUAAACAAUAAUGGAAGCAGAAUGGAAGGAAUUGGUUUGCUAAUAUGGUUGAAGGAAAGCUAAUAAGGAUGCAGGGGAUCUGGUGCUGGGUAUGGUUAUGAAGAAAAGAAUAGAACACUUCCAAAUGAAUUCUGCAGAUGGCCAUGUAAGGGAUUGGACAUUUAAGUUCGCUGCUGGGUCAUGGUAGUUAACAAUGCCAAGACACUACAUAUCAGUAAACUUAUAUGUGGAAGGGAGAAACUGAGCUAGACUUGAGUUAUCGUUAUGGUCAAAGAAGCUUGGAACAAAUCGGGUGCACCAUGAUGGUGAGUAAGGGAGGUUUUAAGUGUUAGACAAAUAUCUCUGUUGGGUAUGGUGCUGGGUAUGGCGAGUGAAUGAAGUGUUACUGGAGGAACAUUUGUAGUGCCUACAAAUGCAGUUUUUAUAUGAUGUUACCUUGGAAAAUAGGUUCAUCUUUCUGAUAUCUUGAGCAGAUGUGGGUGAUGCCUGGGUGGGUUGAAAUGUACAAGCCGCCUGUUUAGCUUUUCACGUGAGUUGGUUGUGCUUUUUAGGGACCAACCUUUUUUAUGCCUAAUGGAGGAACUGGACUCUGGAGCAUGUUUACUGCUAUAAACUCAAGCUUUGUUGAAAAAAUUAGGCAUGCAACAUCUUUAUUUUUAUUUUUAUUCUCUUGUUGUAAUUGUUGUUUAGACUUGUUGUUGCUGGUUCUGUAUAAGGGUUGGGACACCCCUGAAGUGUCCCCUUUAAUUUAUUUAAUUCUUUGCUGAUAAAAAAAAAACAUUAUCAAUGGUCGACAAAACUUUUUGUGUUAUGGGACCUAUAUCUUUCAUUUCCUUUUGCUUUUGAGUAAUCUCUUCUCUUCAAUGAUUGAACUUUCAAAGAUAUGAGAUAUCAUUUUAGCAUGGACAAGUUUAACACUUUUUUUCUCACAAUAGGAAAAUUAUGAGGUCACAUUUAUUAGAGGCCCAUUAUAAUUUUAAAAGAAUUAGUAUACAAAAGGAACUUUAAAUUAGAAAUAGGCUUGAGUCUAUGUUUUUUUCUACAUUGGGUUUAACUUUACUAAUUUUAGUUUUUAUCUAUCUAACAUAAAUUUCUCACUGUUUUGUUUUUAAAAAUUAAACAAUUUUGAGUUUUUGUCAACAUGUAUAAUGCCACUCAACAUUAUUUCUAAGGUUAAUUAUGUGCGUUUAGUUAUGAAAGUCACGUGGAGGGUAGGGUUUCAUAGCUGUUUUUGGGAAGCUUAUCAAGUCUAAUAUGGAUUGUGCGAUAGUAAAUGUGUAUCUUGCGUGCAAUAUGAAAGAUAAAUUGGCUUUAUGGGAGGAUUUCUCUGCUUUAAAAGCUACAACUCGGGAUCAGGCGUGUUGUCUCAUUGGUGAUUUAAUUGCAGUUAGAAAUCCUUCUGAGAGGAGAGGUAUUAGAGAAUGUGGCAUCCAAAAGUGUGAGAUCCUUGGCUUCAACGAUUUCAUUGAAAGAAACUUUUUGGUGAAAUUGCCUGUCGUGGGUAAGAAGUUUACGUGGUACAAGACAAAUGAGUCAGCUAAAAGGAGAAUCGACAGAGUUCUUGUUUCGGAUGAGUGGCUACAAAAGUGGCCUAUGGGCAAACAAUAUAUCUUACUGAGGGAGGUCUCGGAUCAUUGUGCAAUCAUGGUCAAAUCAGUGGUGAAGACUGGGGGCCGAAGCCUUUCAGGUCUUUAGAUGUGUGGUUGAAGGAGCCUGGGUUCAAGGAUAUGGUGAAGGAAAAAUGGAACUCUUAUCCUCGUCACGGAAAUAGUAUGUUUGUGUUCAAAGUUAAGAUGAAGUGUCUGAAAGCUAAUCUUAAGAGGUGGAAUAGAGAUGUGUUCAGGCACCUAGAAUCAAGAAAAAAAAAGGUUCUGAAGGAGAUUGAGGAGCUAGAUGGUCAAGAUGAAGAUGAUGCCCUACCUGAGAGUUUGAGGAUGAGGAGAGUGGCCCUCUUUAGUCAUGUAGAAGAGAUUAAUAAAAACUUGAGUCUCUUUUCAGGUAGAAAGCUAGAAAUAAUUGGCUUGCGUUUGGAGAUUCUAACUCCAAGUUUUAUCAUUUUGUAAUCAGAUGGAGGAGGCUUAGGAAUGAGGUUAAGGUGUUGAUAUGGGAGGUGUGUGGUGUGAGAAGCCUGAGGUUGUUCGUAGGGAGGUGCUGAAGCUUUAUGAAGCUAGAUUUUCUACUUCUCAAGAUUUUGAAGCAUGAUAUUGUAGCUGUUGUUCACCUCUUUCAGGAGACGGGAGGCAUCCCAUAAGGGUGUAAUGCGUUCGUCAUUACUCUUGUUCCUAAAGUGAAGGACCCUAUAAGUAUAGACCAAUACAUGCCAAUUUCUCUGGUGGGCUCGUUGUAUAAAAUUAUCACGAAGGUUUUAUCUUGUCGUAUUAAGAAAGUGUUACGUAGGGUUAUAGAUGAUUGCCAAUUAGCUUUUCUAUAGGACAAAGGGAUGCUAGAUAGCUGGGAAGUGCUGAAGCAUGAUAUUGUAGUUGUUGUUCACCUCUUUCAGGAGACGGGGUGCAUCCCAAAAGGGUGUAAUGCAUCCUUCAUUACUCUUGUUCCAAAAGUGAAGGAGCCUAUAAGUCUAGACCAAUACAGGACAAUUUCUCUGGAGGGCUCGUUGUAUAGAUCGUUGUAUAAAAUUAUCACGAAGGUUUUAUCUUUUGAUAUAAAAAAAGUCUUAUCUGAGGUUAUAGAUGAUUGCCAAUCGACUUUUCUAAGGGACAGAAGGAUGCUAGAUCACUACAAGAAAAUAUGGAAUUACAUACCGCCAAAAUCCGUAUGUAAGACCAAAAAUCCGUAUGCAAAACAUAGUUACAUACGGAUUAUAUACAAGCAAAAAUCCAUAUGUAAAACUAUCGUUGGUAAGUCUUACAUACGGAUUCUAGAUCCAUAUGUAAUUACAUACGAAUUAAUUUGUAUAUAAUAUUCGUAUAUAAAUACAUACGGAUGUAUCUAUAUGUAACAAUAUUUAUUUUUUAAAAUUAAAUUUGUAAUGCACUUGAAAGUUACAUAAAAAGAUCUGUAUGUACGAAUUUUUUAAUAUUAUUAAUAUUAAUAAUAUUUUUUGUUAUUUUUUUAAUAAAUUUAAAAUAAGUUAUAUACGAAUUUUAUGAGUUGGUGGAAGGGGUUGUAAGAAUGGAUUUUAGCAUAUAUGGUUGCCCACGCCCAAGAGAACUACCUCAAGACAAAUACAUUAAGUAAAAAUUGUGUCUAACUUUGUUAUCUAUAACUUUUGGCUCCUUCACCAAAAAGAUGAAUUUCUGCUUUCUUUACAACUUAACAAAUAUUUUGUAAGUGAUUUUUUUAUCAGCAAAUAAACAUUUCUUUAAUGAUAAUCUCAAGUCAAUUUCUUUUUAAAUUAAUAUAUAAAUAGUCAUCUUAAUUUCUUUCUAAAUUAGUACAAAAUAUUCAGGUAAAAGCCGUCUUUUCUACCGUAGAAGAAGUAAUUCCUAUUGUAGAACCAGUAUACAAUUCUAAGGAAGAUAAAUUCUCAUCAUACAUAUACCUUUGAACAUAGAAUGCUGGUUUUUGAAGUAAGGACACUAUUGAACUCUUGCUUGUCAAUAUUAAUAUAAUGUCACUCAUUGUGGGUCGAUCAUUUGCAUAAUGUUCAACACAUAAGAGACCAAUAUGAAUACACAUUUGCACUUCCUCAUGAUCAAAUACCUCAUUUAAUGAUGGAUCCACUAAUUCAAAAUAUUUGUCAUCCUUCCAUAACAACCAUACCUGUAUGUAUUUACUCAAGUUAGUUACAAUAAUAUAUAAGAUCAUGCCAAAAAAUCAAACUUACCAAAGCUAAUUUUACAUACAUGUCCAACUAGAUUCAAAGGGUGAUCAUUGCCAUAAAAACUUGUGUUUUUUCUUCAACUAACUAUUUCAAGCAACAAUACUCCAAAGCUAUAUACAUCUGACUUUGUAGAAAAUAUUCCUUCCAUAGCAUAUUCUGGAGACAUAUAACCACCGCAAGAAAUUUCACAUGAGAAAAUAAAUUUUAUUUAUACAUUGAUAUAAGAUAAAUGUAACUGAGUUUAGUAAGCUCACUAUGUCCCAACAACCCUAUUCAUAUUUGAUAUCAAGUCUUGAUGAGUAAACAUUCUAGCCAUUCCAAAAUCUGAUAUUUUUGGAUUCAUAUUUUCAUCAAGAAGUAUGUUACUAGCUUUCAAGUCUCUAUGAAUGACUUUGAGUCUUGAGUACUUGUGAAGAUACAAUAAUCCUUGAACAAUCCCUUUUAUUAUGCUGAAACGCUUAUUCCAAUCAAGUAAUUUGCUUCUUGUACAAUCUUCUCCAUGUUCAUAUAGUAGUGAUGUACGUUAGAAUGUAUAAUAUAAAAAUGUAAAAAACGAAAGUGACUUUUCUUCAUGAAAACUUGAGUAAUUAUAGUAAAUCUAUUUGAGAAAUAUCCUUAUUCACCUACAUAAGAAUAUAAUGUUAAUAAUAAUAUUAAUUAUAACAUUAAUAAAUAUUAAUAAUAUAAAUAUAAUUUAUUUUAUUUUUAUUAUUAAUAAUAAUUAUAUUAAUAUGUAUAAAUUAUAUUAAUAUGUAUAAGUAUAAUAAAAAUGAUAAUAUGACCAAAGAACUUGUUUGGUCUAGUGGUCAAUGUUUUCCCGGGUCACUGGAAAGACUUGGGUUUGAAUUCUUAUAACAUUAUUUGGGGCUUGAUAAAAAAUAUAAAUAAUGAUAAAUAAAAAUUAGAAAUAAAUUUUUUACAUUGUAUACGGAUAAAUCCAUUUGUAAUAUCCGUAUGUAAUUACAUACGGAUUUUGAUGGUAUGUAAUUCCAAUUUUUCUUGUAGUGAAAAAGGAUUUUAUAGGGUUAGAAGAUUUUUUGCACCUAAACCAUAAAAUAAAUAUACUUUAUAACCAUUUAUAAUAACAUAAUAAUAUUUUAAAUUAAAAAUAAAUUAAAUAUAAUUAAAAUAUUAAUUUAUUAGGACUUAAAGUGUGUAUGUUAUUCUUCAUGGUGUUAACGUAUCUGCACCCGAAAUUAUUGAUAGUCAAAGAAAGUGAAACGAAUAAAAGUUUUGUCGGCCAUUGCUUUAAGAAAGAUUCAAUUAUUUAUAUUUUAUAGCUUUCUCAUUUUUUGAUUGAGGUUAUGACCCAAUCAAAUUGGAGUCUCCAUUUUUGAAGAUGAUUUUCUUUCCUGUUUUAACUUUUUCAAUAGUGUACUCAUUGUUAGAUACAAAGAAAGUAUUCAUUGUUUAUAAAAGAGAGUAUUUGUUAAUUAUUAUUGAUUUUUUUUUCACUUUAUAAGAAGCUUUAUAUAUAUUGAUUAUUAUAUAAAUUUUUUUAAUUUAAUACUUAUAAUCUAAAUAAAAAAAUCAAUUACUUACCAACUCCAAUAUAUAAAUAAAUUCAUAGAUAAUUCAGUAUAUUUUAUUUUAAAUUUUUUAAUUAUUAUUUAAUUCUUUUUAUUAUUAUUUUUAAUUAAUAUUUAUAUAUAUUAUUUAUGUCUACUUUUAGAAUUAUUAUUGACAAUUGCUAUACUAUUAUAAUUAUUAUUAACUAGCGGAAACAAAGUAUCCGCAUUUUCUUCUUUUGUUCAAUUUCUACGAUGAUAAAAAUUUAACAUACAUACAUAAAUUAUUUUGCAUUAGUCGAAAUUAAAAAACAAAAAAUAACAUGUAAAAAAAUGAUGAAUUGUUUCAUCAACCCUUUUUUUUCCCUAUGAUUUGAGUUUCUUUUCUUCAAACUUUUUCUUUUCUUCAAUUGGUGGUAUAAAUAUUAGAAAUUAAAAAUUAGAAAUAAAUUACAAUGAGUGAGACUCGAAACUAAGUAUUUUCAAUAACCAAAAAAACUUUAACCAAUAUUACACCAACCAAAUUUUGUUGUCAUGUUAUGCUUAUUAUUAUAUUAUAAUUAUUAUUAUUUAUUAUUAUUAUUAUUAUUUAUGAAUAUUAGUUAUGAUUUUAUAAUUAUUUAUAUUAUGAUAAUAUUUUUAAUAUUAUGUAUAUAAUUAUUAUGAUUGAUAUUAUUUAUAUUAUUAAAAGUUCUAAAAAUAUUAAGAUUAUUUAUAUUCUUAAUAUUGUUAAUAAAAAUAUUUAUACUAAUAAUUAAUAAUAAUAUUGAAUUUACUUUUAGAUAUACAUUCGAGGGUAAAAUUUGUGGAUAAUGUAAAAAUUUACUUACGAAUAGAUAUCUGUGGAUAAUAAUCUGUCAGUAAACUGAAUUAAUCUACGAAUUCAGACUCGUAGUCAUAUCUUUAAGUAAUGCUGAAUUUAUUUAUGAAUUCAAAUUCGUGAUAAAAGUCCAUCGGUAAAUCUGACUUUGUUAUCGAUAACUUUUGGCUCUUCACCAAAAGGACGAAUUUAUGCUUUCUUUACAAUCUAACAAAUAUUUCUUAAGUGAUUUUUUUAUCAACAAAGAAAUGAUUCUUAAGUGAUAAUCACAAGUCAAUUUCUUUUUAAAUUAGUAUAUAAAUAUUUAUGUAAAAGUAGUCAUUUUACUUUCUUUCAAAAUCAGUACAUAAAUAUUUAGGUAGAAGUAGUCAUUUCUACUGUAGAAGAAGUAAUUUCUACUGUAGAACCAGUACACAAUUCUAAGGAAGAUAAAUUCUCAUUAUACAUAUACCUUUGAACAUAGAAUGCUGGUUUUUGAGGUAAGGACACUAUUGGGCUCUUGCUUGUCAACAUUAAUAUAAUGUCACUCAUUGUGGGUCGAUCAUUUGCAUAAUGCUCAACACAUAAGAGACCAAUAUGAAUACACCUUUGCACUUCCUCGUGAUCAAAUACCUCAUUUAGUGAUGGAUCCACUAAUUCAAAAUAUUUGUCAUCUUUCCACAACUCCCAUACCUGUAUGUAUUUACUCAAAUUAGAUAUAAUAAUAAUAUCAUGUUAAAAAACGAACUUAUCGAACUUAAUGUUACAUACAUGUCCAACUAGAUUCAAAGGGUGAUCAUCGUCAUAAAAACUUGUGUUUUUUCUUCCACUAACUAUUUCAAGCAACAAUACGCCAAAACUGUACACAUCAGACUUCGUAGAAAAUAUUCCUUCCAUAGCAUAUUCUGGAGACAUAUAACCACUGCAAGAAAUUUCACAUGAGAAAAUAAAUUUUAUUUAUACAUUGAUAUAUGAUAAAUUUAACUGAGUUUAGCAUGCUCACUAUGUCCCAACAACCCUGUUCGUAUUUGAUAUCGAGUCUUGUUGAGUAAACAUUCUAGCCAUUCCAAAAUCUGAUAUUUUUGGAUUCAUAUUUUCAUCAAGAAGUAUGUUACUAGCUUUCAAGUCUCUAUGAAUGACUUUUAGUCUUGAGUACUUGUGAAGAUACAAUAAUCCUUGAGCAAUCCCUUUUAUUAUGCUAAAGCGCCGAUUCCAAUCGAGUAAUUUGCUUCUUGUACAAUCUUCUCCAUGGACAUAUAGUAGUGAUGUACAUUAGAAUGUAUACUAUAAAAAUGUAAAAAGCAAAAGUGACUUUUCUUCAUGAUGCUCUGCCUAGGAAAACUUGAGUAAUUAUAGUAAAUAUAAUUGAGAAAUAUCAUUGUUCACCUACAUAAGUUUUUGGAUAGUUGCAUGAUAAUGAAAACAACAUUUAUUUUUUUAACAUCCUAAACAACAGAUAAUUAAAUAAUGAUCAACACAUUUCUCACCGAAAAGAUAGAAAUCUAAGCUUUUGUUGGACAUAUAGUCGUAAAUUAGAAUCUUCUCUUCUUCAUGAAUGCAACAACCAAGUAGUUGAACAAGAUUCAUGUGCUGAAGUUCGCAUAUAAGUGUUAGUUCAUUUUUAAACUCAACCAUUCCUUGUGUAGAACUUCUUGCAAGUCUUUUUAUAGCAACUUCCUCUCCUGUUGGCAAUGUUCCCUAAAGAAAUGAAAACAAAAAGGUCAUUAGUCCUCCGAAAUAAAAUUACCAACACAUAAGAUGAGUAAUUUGAAUCACCUUAUAAACUGGUCCAAAGCCUCCCUGUCCUAACUUAUUCUCUGAUGAAAACUCAUUUGUAGCUGCCACAACCAAUGUAUAAUCCAAUACUUUUAAACCGUAUUUCUUAUUCAAAUCAUUUCCUAAAUCUUCGAUUAGACUCAUUUCUUUCCUUUUCUUCUCUGUUCAGAUGACAAUGAUCAAAUAUGAAAAUAUAGUGAUCAAAUUGUUCUUUAACAAUGAGUUAGAAGAAUGUAAGUACCUUGAAGCACAUGUUUUCGUUUCUUUAUUGCCAGGCAUAGAAUGGAUGCGCAUAUUAUGAGUAAAGUAGUUGCUAUUCCUGUACUUAUCCAUAUCCUCCUUUUAGUACCUGCAUUUGCAUACAACAACUCAAAAUCUUCCAAGUAUGAAUUAUUAAUUUUAUGGCUUUAUAAUGUUUUGCAAUGCCAUUUUUAAGCGUUGCAGCCAAUGACUUAUUUCCUUUUCAAUUUGGAGAUCAAAGACUGCUAAAAACAGAAAUUUGUUUUGGUGCAGUUCCCUAAGAUCCACAGUAAAGUUGUACAAAGAAAGAAAUGCUCAAGAAUUAUGCACUCUAGAUAAAGGGUAUAUUUGAAUUUAGGGUAUUGGAAUCUUUAGACUUUGCUCUACAUAUUUUAUGGUGUGAUGGGAAGCAUUAGAAAUGAAACUUCUUUUUGUCUAUAAAGAAAUGAAAUGAAGUUGGCAUUAGACAUACCCUGAUGAUGAGGAAUUAUGUUCCCUUUGUUCUCAAGUAAGUAAAUGUCUUCACCCGAAACAGUGGCUUCAACUAUAUAAUCUUUUGAUGAAUUCCAAUGAUAGAACAUACAUCCACUUCCAUCAUUAGAGAAUUCUUUGAAUCCAUUGCAAUAACAAUCGCUCCAGCAAGCAGCCUCACAAUCGCUGUAACUAAUAUUCUCAUUCUCGUCAGCUGUUACGUUUUGAUAAUUAGAGCGAAGAAUCUUUUUGGUAAAGACAUCACCAGGAAUCCUGCAUUUAGGUAUAUCCUGCCAUCUUUGGCACCCUCCUUCUGUGUUGUUGUAUCCAUAACACAGAUCAGCUCUUGCAACGUCUCCCUCGUUGUAAUUGCAAGAUAACUGCCCAGUAUCCGAUAGGAACCACCGACGUGUAUGGCUUUCAUUUUUAGAUGUGAAGGAGAAGGUGUCUUCAUCCCCAUUGGACACUAUGCUGUACUUCAACACGCCUUGUGCAUCUUCUGGGAUGUUCUCAAAUCUAUUGUUCCUCACUUUCCCACUUUUCCAACAAACUUUUCCUCGCCUCCUUAUCAUCAGUUCUUGUUCCCUCGGUUCCCAUUCAAGACUAAAGGCACCUCGAGUCGCACUCCCAUAGGUCAACUGCGAAAAAAGUAACCAACGAUGGCCUGUUUUGUGAUUAACACCUAACUUCAUGGUGGGGAUCAAAGUGUUGGUGGGAUAAUCAAAACUCUGCCACAAGAGAGUGUUUGUCCCAUUGGGGUGAAGGUGUUGAAGCACAAAGUUGCCUGUGUCCAACAAAGUGGCCACAGUGUUGUUGAUAGGUUGAGGUGGAGAAUACAGAAUAAUUGGUUUUUUCACAGAUGCAUAUUCUAUUUUCAGCACGCCAGAUAAAUUUAAGGAUAG
This 26741-nucleotide long non-coding RNA is filed under the name Phaseolus vulgaris (common bean). Its description in RNAcentral is "long non-coding RNA (PVUL_LNC000400)". Lineage: Eukaryota; Viridiplantae; Streptophyta; Magnoliopsida; Fabales; Fabaceae. The record is from RNAcentral.